GUCUCUUAGUGGCGAACGGGUGAGUAACGCGUUGGUGACCUGCCUCGAAGUGGGGAAUAACUCCGGGAAACUGGAGCUAAUACCUUAUGUGGUCUGUGGAUUUAGAAACCACUUACUAAAGGUCUUCGGAUCGCUUCGAGAGGGGCCUGCGUCCCAUCAGCUAGUUGGUAGGGUAAUGGCCUACCAAGGCGACGACGGGUAGGGACCUGAGAGGGUGAUCCCCCACAAUGGAACUGAAACACGGUCCAU
RNAcentral lists this ribosomal RNA (249 nucleotides) under uncultured bacterium. Its description in RNAcentral is "partial 16S ribosomal RNA". It matches the Rfam family "Bacterial small subunit ribosomal RNA", at positions 87 to 334 of the family's 1533-position model. The record is from RNAcentral.